Haliotis rufescens (red abalone) is the source of this 2507-nucleotide long non-coding RNA. RefSeq lists it as uncharacterized. The transcript is spliced from 2 exons. The record is from RefSeq and is a predicted model, not a curated record. Lineage: Eukaryota; Metazoa; Mollusca; Gastropoda; Lepetellida; Haliotidae.
UUCUGUCUGUAUAGACUCUUGGGAUGUGAACAGGUCUUCUGUCUGUAUAAUCUCCUUGAAGUAUGAAGGGGUCAGUAUAAUCGCUGGGUAAGAUGAUGGGGUAACCUGUGUGUAUAAUUGAUAAUAGUUUAUUUCAGUCUCUAUAUCCUCAAGUGUGUAUAAAUCAAGUGAAUAUAUCAUUCAUUGAGGCAUGUAAGCCAUGUUCUCCCUGUUGUAUGUCUCCUUUUCAAGCCCCCUGCUUGUCUGUUUGGCAAACUACCUGGUAAAUGUAUCUUUGUCACUUGUUUGCCAGGUCCCUGCUGGUGUAAAGGGAAACCUCCUGUUUCUGUGAAACCACCUCCUGGUGUGAAGGGAAACUUUCUGCUUGUGUGAAGGGGAAAUUGUCGCUGCCAAGGGUAACCUUCUGCUGGUGUGAAGGUGAACCUACUCCUGAUGUGAAAUUGAACAUCCUGCUUGAGCCAAUGGGAAAAGCCGUUUUCAUUGUCUGAGCCUCUUGAGUUAUCUUGGUGCUGCUGGAUGAUAGUGCUUGUUCACCACGCACGACUAGGAGAAGAGUACUGAAAUGAUGUACAUGCCAAUGUUUCUGAGAACAUUUCUUCAAGUCUUGUAAGCUAGUGCUAAUGAACGAUCUCUUGUUUGUCUGUCUAUUUGGUCAAUUUGUGUAAUUGAGCAUUCUUGCCUAAUUAUGUUGCCAUAUCUAAAAUAUCUUUUUAACAAGCAUUUGUGAGUUGCCCUCUGGCCUGAUAAGGUUAAAGAACAGAGUGUCCAUUAUCCUUUCUUGACGCAGGGACAACCUGUUUUCAUUUUCUCUGAGCCAAGUCCUCUUGGUGCUGUUUGAUGUUAAUGCCUUACACAACGUUCGGUGAGGGGAAGGGUACUGACUUGUAGGUUAUGGCUGUGUUCCGAAGAGCGAGUCUACAGGUCUCGUAAGUUUGUGUUAAUUUUGGAACAGCAAAGCCUAAAUGCUAACCGGACUCUCGAGCAUUAGUUUUAAUUGAUCUCAAAUAAUUCAACACGCACUAAGAUCUAAAAUUACGGUUUGGUACCUGAUGUGUCUCUGACGAAAGUAAUAUGUUGUUGUCAUUUUUAGGUGUGUAUAAGUCAUAAGACCACACAGGGGCGGUCGGGUAGCCUAGUGGUUAAAGCGUUCGCUCGUCACGCCAAAGACCCGGGUUCGAUUCCCGACAUGGGUACAAUGUGCGAAGCCAAAUUUCUGGUGUCCCCCGAGGUGAUAUUGCUGGUAUAUUGCUAAAAGCGGCGUAAAACCAUACUCACUGACUCAUAAGACCACCAUCAACAUACUUCAACGUACCUCUCAAACUGCUGACAAGUUCAAAACGGUCAAAGGGAAGUAACUCCAUGAUACUUCAGUUGUGCUUGUUUAAGAUCCAUGUCAUGGGGUAGUUCUGUUGUUAUGUCAUCUCGGAACUAUCACUUUUAGUCACACUGACACAAGUUCAACAAAUUAUAUUUAAACACACAGAUUUAGGUUUACAAUCAGAAAGCAAUACAACGAGUCAAGUAAGUGGCAGACCCAAUAAAUAACAGGCCUAGAAUUAAUGUUAGUGCACUCACGAAUGUCCAAAAUAUUUCUUCUGUUGAAUGUCUUAAAGAGGCAUGUAUCCUUUCUAGAAUCCAGAAUAGUAUUGGUAGCAGGGAAGAGUUCUGUUUUUCCGAAAAGGUAUUGAAACAGCGCUUGCGAGUAAAUUAUAAACCAGGCAGUCCAAGAAAGGCACCGAAUCGUCCUUUUGUCAACAGUUAUAGAAACAAGGAAGACGAGAAAGGCCCCGUUUCUUUUAUUUUUUUAGCCCCUUGAGUUUUCUUCUUUGACGUUAUGAAAACAUUCUACUUAGUGUCAUUAUGAUCGCAAUUCAAGAUUUAUACAUUCAUUUUAUAGUCAUAUUUCGUAGUAUUUGAAGACACGAGUUCACGAAAUGCAUACUGGUUGCAGUAUGCAAUGAACGUGCUCAGAAUGCAUGAAGAGAUGAAAGUUGACAUUUUCCCUGUUUAGGCCCUCUAUAACUGCGAAACCAAACCGUGAGAGUAAUCUACAAGUGUAACUCUGCUAUGCGAUUAGGAGUCCCUGCCUGACAUAAAUCUGCUAAGACCUGAAAGGAUCUGAAAUGACGUGCAAGAACGUGACAGCACCAUGUUAUAUUGCACCAUUUACAGCAUCAGCAUAAUAUAAACAUCAAGAUAAAACAACGGGUUAUUUUCAGUGAUCCGUUCAUAUCAUUUCAAUCACUAUAUUGCCUUUUGCACCAAAUGGAAUGUGUUUCGGUAGGUGGUUGGUUGGUUGUUUGUUGUUUAACGCCGCACUCAGCAAUAUUCCAGCUGUAUGACGGCGGUCUGUAAAUAAUCGCGUCUGGACCAGACAAUCCAGUGAUUUACAUCAAGAGCAUCGAUCCACGCAAUUGGGAUAAGAAGUCAUGUUUCGGUAGAUGAUCAAGUUUUAUGAACAUAUCGAACAUAAUAUGAAUCAUGUCUCAAUAAAAUGAUUAUGCAUG